ACCUGUCCAAGAAAACAAAAUACACCCACAAAAGCAAUGGGGGGAAUAAAAGGAAAAGUGCAAGGGUUUCCAGGAAAAAUUUCCGGCGGAAACAAAAAUCAAAGUCAUGGAAAUUUAUAGUUUUAAGAAACACACGCAGCAAAUAUGGGUAACAAAUAAGAGAAACAGCAACAAAAAUGAAAAUUACUACACAAGUAAAUUAAAAACAAAGGAAAAGAAACACGCGUGAAAAGGGAAACAGAGAAAGUGAAAAUGACAAGAAAAUAAUAUGAAAAACAAUGAAAGUGAGCGGGUAAAUAUUCCGAAAGUACCGGGUUGGUCGAAAAUGAGUGGGGAAAAAACUGUCCAAAAGAAGCCCGCCGAAAAACUGCCCGGAACAGUGUCACGCGCGCGGCGCGUGGUCGUCGUCGGCGGCGCGUGAGCAGUCGUCGGCGGCGCGUGCGUCGGUUUCCGGCGACGAAACA
Molecule: long non-coding RNA, 464 nt
Filed under: Nicotiana benthamiana
Lineage: Eukaryota; Viridiplantae; Streptophyta; Magnoliopsida; Solanales; Solanaceae
Description: long non-coding RNA (NBEN_LNC031686)
Source: RNAcentral